Dunckerocampus dactyliophorus (ringed pipefish) is the source of this 2312-nucleotide long non-coding RNA. RefSeq lists it as uncharacterized. The record is from RefSeq and is a predicted model, not a curated record. NCBI's taxonomy places the organism in Eukaryota, Metazoa, Chordata, Actinopteri, Syngnathiformes, Syngnathidae. The transcript has 3 exons.
CAGCCUAGCAAUCCAGGCAUGUUAGAAAGCUGGCCUUGUACUCUAUAUGGCUAUAUGCUUUGUGACGAAGAAACCAGACUCCUCGAGACAUCCGACUCAUUACAGAUUAACCUGUUGGAUGGAAAUUGGACUGUAGAUACAUAAAGUCCAUAUAGUUCUGUUGCUGUGCCCGGACUCACUCUCUGACCGGAGUUCUAGUGUGGAUGAGCUGCUCCAGCGAACCCACCUAACGCACCUACAGUCCGCUCUCCCCUACAAAAGGUGGUACCAAGCAGAUGCCCGCAGUCUCCCAAGCUGGAGGUGGCUGGUUCGAUCCCCCGUCUGAUUGAAUCUGUGCAAAAUGGAACAUCCGGGAAAGAACUGAGGUCAUGUCAGGUUCAGGAAGGACUUGCGUGACAUCUCCAACUAUCGAGUGCGACUUCAGACUCAUAUUUUUCCAGUAAAUGUAUCAGAUCAUCGGGAUUGUCCCUUUUGAUGUAACUUAUGAUACACAUCAAGUGUUUAUUCCUUCCUGAGUAGUCACAGAUGUUGUUUUAACUGGGACGCACAUGUGCUGCAUUCCACGCUCUCCUCUUUGAGCAGCGACAGCGCGGAUCCUUAAUGGUGACAGUGUUUUGUUCUCCGUGUCUCUGGGGAGAGAUAAUAGGAAGCGCUCCUCCUCGGAGGCAAGCGGGCCGGGCCAGACGAGGCUCUGUAAACAUGAGGGAAUGAAGAUUAAUCACACGCUAGAGAUGGUGCUCCCACUUUAAUAAUCGGUAUUGAUUACUGUCACCUUACAUCUGCAGCAACAGCUGCUGCGAGACGAGCCCGUUGCCCGAGGCCGGUCCACUUUACGCUCCCCCUGUUAAAUCAUUGCGUGUUGAGCGGAGAACAGGUGGGUUAUCGUGAGACACACACCAAUAAAUGUUAUGCAUUGACUUUGAAAUCAUAAUCCAAUACAAGCUUUCUCAGUGUGAAUGUUCAGCAACUGUACAGCAGGGGUGGGAAGAUGGAUCCAAAUGUCGAUGGUAUCGAUAACGAGGGUAGAAUCAGGUAGAAUCAUCCUAACUGUUAGCAUGCUGACAUUGAACAUGAAAACACUGUCUAUGUAAGUUUAUACCUUUGAAAAUAGCAAAAAUGCUAACAUGCUACUAGUUAGCACGCUAACGCCUAACAUGAAACCACUAGUGUAGAGUACUGCACAUUUUCGUAUCUUUCCAAUAGCAAGUGAAUACAGCGCUUUGUUGCUGACACUAUUACUGAUGCUGAUACUUGAAAUAUGAUUUCAUUGACAGAAUUUAUGAUCUAGCCUUUCAUUUGUUCAUUGUAAUUAUAAUAAAAAAAAACUGUCAACAAUUUAGCAAUAUAUAAAUAAAACAACCUAAGAAAAUAAUAUCAACUAAAUAAUAAAAUAAUGUCCUUUUAUUACAUGCAAUUUUUUCAGCAAAAUAAUUAAACAUGGCCAAAAACUACUAUUUGCUCUUAUUCAAAUAGUUGUUUUGUUUUUUCCCCAAAGCUGUCCUGUGUCUUAUAGUCCCUGAGUGUGUAAAACAUACAGUAUAUGCUGUAAGUUGAUCCAAUAUCAACAGUGUAGCAAUAUGAAUAACAACAAAAACACACAAGUAUCUGAGGAAAAAAAAUGAUCUCAUCAAAAUGGUAUCAAUCCAGUCCUGAUACCAGCCUUGGUAUCGAGAUCAUGAAUAUUUGGAUUGACCCGCCCAGACCUGUGAGUGGUGCAGGUAGCUUUGGAGCAAUGGAGGCCACAGGUGGAAAUAAUCCUCUUAUUGGACAGCAUGGCUGCGUUUGAACGCGACAACUUCUACAACCUGUGAGUUUAUGUCUGCGUUAUAUUCCUUCACGCUUCUGUUUGGCAAUGAUAUCAGUCCCUCCACGAUUGUUUGGGUCGAAAUAGUCACAAAGUUGUGCAAAAUUGAGGUGGAUUUUUUUUCCAAAGUUUUUUUGUUAUCAGUGUUGUUUGUCACUUUAGCCCCAAAAGUAGAGGAUUUCAAGAAAAUAUACAUUGCUUGCACACCAAGUGCAGAGCGUAUUGUUGAUGUUGACAGCAGCCCCUCCCCAGCACCUCACAAGCCUUUUUUGAGAUGCCUGAUUUGACAGGAAGUGGCACUGUUUGUUUGAAGUGUCUUUUUCCACCAAGGGCCACAUGCUGACAUAUCGAAACAUGUGGGGUCCACUUUUUCUGCUUAGAUUGCACUUUUCUGCUCAUUUUUUCCUUUUUUGUGAAUCUUUGUAUAAUAAUAAAGUCAUAAUAUUAUGACUUCAUCCCAAAUUAUUUUCAUUUCAUUCUCAACUUUUCCCAACCUAAUUUUCCAAAA